GCACCGUUAGCCCAACUGGAUAGAGCAUUCGGCUACGGACCGAAAGGUUAGGGAUUCGAAUUCCUUACGGUGCACCA
Molecule: transfer RNA, 77 nt
Filed under: Clostridia bacterium
Lineage: Bacteria; Bacillati; Bacillota; Clostridia
Description: tRNA-Arg
Rfam family: tRNA
About the family: Transfer RNA (tRNA) molecules are approximately 80 nucleotides in length.
Source: RNAcentral